GCGUCGAUAGCUCAGUUGGUUAGAGCACUGCGUUUACACCGCAGGUGUCGGGGGUUCGAGUCCCUCUCGACGCACCA
RNAcentral lists this transfer RNA (77 nucleotides) under Nesterenkonia sedimenti. Its description in RNAcentral is "Nesterenkonia sp. MY13 tRNA-Val". It matches the Rfam family "tRNA". Rfam says of the family: Transfer RNA (tRNA) molecules are approximately 80 nucleotides in length. Their secondary structure includes four short double-helical elements and three loops (D, anti-codon, and T loops). Lineage: Bacteria; Bacillati; Actinomycetota; Actinomycetes; Micrococcales; Micrococcaceae. The record is from RNAcentral.